This is a long non-coding RNA of Ailuropoda melanoleuca (giant panda), 7968 nucleotides long. RefSeq lists it as uncharacterized. The transcript has 3 exons. Lineage: Eukaryota; Metazoa; Chordata; Mammalia; Carnivora; Ursidae. The record is from RefSeq and is a predicted model, not a curated record.
AGUCCGGGCCCCCCAGAGUCUUCUGUCCAGGGCAGAGAUGGGGUGGGUGCAUGUGUGCCUCCCAUCUUCGAGGCUGCGUCCUCACCCUACCCAGAGCCCCACCAACCUCGGGGGGGGGGGCAGCAGCAGGGCCUGGAUGUCCAAGACCCUCCUCACCCCUCCCUCCCACCUACCCCGAGCCCCCCUGCUUUAUAAAUCUUCUUGCUCACCUCCACCCCCCAGGAUCCAAGUCGUUCUGGUAGAAUAUGGUUCCUUUUUCCUUUGGGUCAUUUUGCAGUUUUCUCCACUGUACGUCCGGGGCCCUGUGUUGGGUGUGCGUGUGGUGCCCUCCCAGCAGGACCUAGAGCUGUGUAGGGUCUCCCGCCUCCCCUCCUUGGCCCCAGCGGUCCUGCAAUGUGGACUUCACAGCAGACAUUGUGAAUAUUAGGUUUGCAGCUCGUGGAGAACGAGCUCCUGGCGUGUAGGUGGUCAGGUUCUGGGGUUCCUCCUUUUCUUUUUGCCUGUCUGUCUUUGUAAAACUUUGUUGCUGACAAUGCAUCAUUUCACAGUAAUCUUAAGACGAUAUUUUCCAAAAAGAAAGGCCUGCUUUCACAUAUCACCACAUGCAGCCCCAUAAUCAGAAGUCUGCCUCCUUCCCUGUCCUGUGGGGCGCAGACCUGACGAGAAAGGCAGCAGGCAGGUGGAGCGGGCUGCCGUGUGCCUCUCAGAAGGGUGGUGGCUGUGGCCCUUAGUCUCAUGGCCACACAGCGUUCGCACGGGCACCUUGCUGGGCUUAGAUCGGCAUGGAUCUGUGGGGGUGGGAUCAUGUGUCCACUCUGAUCUGCCGCUGUCACAGGCCUGAGGUCACCGAGUGGCAGAGCAGGGACCUGCAUGGACCCAGCAGUCUCGGGGUGCCAUGCAGGCCUGCCAGGUGAGGGUCUGGUUUGAAGGGGGCAGAGGGAGGGUCUUCCUGGUAGGAGGUAUCGAGGGGCCCCCUUCCUGUUGCACCGCCAGCUGGCCCUGGGUCUGGACGUGCUGGUCCUGGCCAGUCCCACAUCCUCCCAGAGUCUCACUCUGUGGUUCUCUGUUCUGUGCCUGCAAAGUGCAUGUCCCGGCAUUUGUGGGGAGAGGUGUCCAGCCUCCUCGGUCUCUCCGUGCCUGGCACAGGAAGCAGGCGUGUGGAUGGUCAGGAAAGGUUUGCGGCGUGGACUUCUGUCAGCCUUCAGAGUGAGGCUGGACCUCGGGAACCCUGACAGGAGCCGAGGGCUCCGUGGUUGGGCCUGGUCACCUGUUUCAGGACGUCCUGUCUCCGUGCCAGAGUGUGGUCGGUAUGUUAACACACACCCCCUGGUUUCCCUUGUGAGCACGGCGUUCCCAUGAGCCAGUCUGAUGGCAUCAGGCCUCUCUCCGUCAUUGUCCCUCAGGUGCAGGUCUGUAUGUGCCUCCUGGAGGCCUCUGAAUGGUCCCCGUGUGGAAACCUGGCUUGCUUUGUGGCCAUCUUCUUUUAUUUUUAAAUUCAGAUAAGAGCUUCAGGGCUUUUUCCUUUGAAAGCACAGGAACCCAAGCCCUGUGGAUUUUGCCAGUCGCAGCUCACUGAGUGCCGGGCGAAGUCUGGGGCAGUCAGCGUUAAAACAUGCAGUCAGUGCUGCUGAUGAGUGUUUGAGUUGAAAAGGAAGAGCGUGCAUUAAUUAUUGUAAAGAGAUGUCUUUAGGAGAAAAUGAUUUUGAAAUUCAGUUUAAUUUCAUUGUGAUGUGCUGCAAACAGGAAGGGAGUGUGUGUGUGUAAUUGGCUCUCGGGGGUGAGGCCUGGAAGCCGUGUGCCUUUGUCACAGGCCAUUAGCGAUACAGGCUGCAUAAUGAGCGGGCGCAAUCAGCUCGCAGCUGCCGGCUCCUGCGGGGAGAGCAUGAUAUUAAAUAGAAAUCAGGAUAAAUUAAACUUAACCCUUUCCCUGGCCAGCCCCUCCUGCCGCGGGGUUCUGGUGGGAGCUAGAGAGCUGCUCAGCCUUGGGGGAGGGGCCGGGUCCUCGUCUGCACGAGAAGAGAGAGGUCACCAGCGUUCCUGCCCUUCCUGCCCUGGGCACCUCCUUCCCCACGUGCAUGGAGCUCCUUGCAAGCCCCCAGGGGUUGUGGCUGCUCCCAAGGAGACCCAGCGUCUCCCCCCAGAAACUCUGCUGACAGCCACAGUGACUCUCCUCCCGAGUCUUGCUCACUUAAGCACCACCACAACCAGAGAAGCUACUGGACAUGCACACGGGCACCAGCGCUAGCCCAGGGCAGGGGGACGGCUGAUCCCAGGAGCCAGGCGCCCUCUGGCCUCUAUGUUGACCUUGCCGUCAGAGCAGAGGACAGAGGACACAGGGAUGAGGACACGGUGAAGACACGGGACAGAGGUGAGGACACAGAGAUGAAGACAUGAGGAUGAGCAUGGAAUGGUGGUGAGGGCACAGAGGUGAGGACACGGGACAGAGGUGAGGGACAUGGGACGGAGGUGAGGACACAGAGAUGAAGACAUGAGGAUAAGCAUGGAAUGGUGGUGAGGGCACAGAGGUGAGGACACGAGACAGAGGUGAGGACACAGGAUGGAGGUGAGGACAUGGGACAGAGGUGACGACACGGGACGGAGGUGAGGACGUGUGAUGGAGGUGAGGACACGGGACAGAGGUGAGGACACGGGACGGAGGUGAGGACACAGAGAUGAAGACAUGAGGAUAAGCAUGGAAUGGUGGUGAGGGCACAGAGGUGAGGACACGAGACAGAGGUGAGGACACAGGAUGGAGGUGAGGACAUGGGACAGAGGUGACGACACGGGACGGAGGUGAGGACGUGUGAUGGAGGUGAGGACACGGGACAGAGGUGAGGACACGGGACGGAGGUGAGGACACAGAGAUGAAGACAUGAGGAUAAGCAUGGAAUGGUGGUGAGGGCACAGAGGUGAGGACACGAGACAGAGGUGAGGACACAGGAUGGAGGUGAGGACAUGGGACAGAGGUGACGACACGGGACGGAGGUGAGGACGUGUGAUGGAGGUGAGGACACGGGACAGAGGUGAGGACACGGGACGGAGGUGAGGACACAGAGAUGAAGACAUGAGGAUAAGCAUGGAAUGGUGGUGAGGGCACAGAGGUGAGGACACGAGACAGAGGUGAGGACACAGGAUGGAGGUGAGGACAUGGGACAGAGGUGACGACACGGGACGGAGGUGAGGACGUGUGAUGGAGGUGAGGACACGGGACAGAGGUGAGGACACGGGACGGAGGUGAGGACACAGAGAUGAAGACAUGAGGAUAAGCAUGGAAUGGUGGUGAGGGCACAGAGGUGAGGACACGAGACAGAGGUGAGGACACAGGAUGGAGGUGAGGACAUGGGACAGAGGUGAUGACACGGGACGGAGGUGAGGACGUGUGAUGGAGGUGAGGACACGGGACAGAGGUGAGGACACGGGACGGAGGUGAGGACACGGGAUGGAGGUGAGGACACGGGAUGGAGGUGAGGACACGGGACGGAGGUGAGGACGUGGGACGGAGGUGAGGACACAGAGUUGAGGCCAUGGGGCUGAGGACACGUUGCUGGGGACACACACGGACACGGAGACCGAACUGAGCAGACAUUACAGUUGCUGCUGCCUUUGACGCCUCCCGGUGAGCAGUUCUGUGUUACGCUGCGAACUGAGCGUAAGGACGCAGACAGCCUCGGACUGACUUUAAAAAUGCCUCACAUACACUGUUCAGGGUGACGAAGUGACCUGGUACACAGCAUGCCAAUUCCAUGUCAGCGUGCUGGUCGAGGGUCCUUAGGGGAUGGGGAGCAAGGACGCUGGGAAAUCCACCAGAACGUCAGCACGUGCUUGCCUUCCCCACUGCAAGCACGUGACGUCGCUCCCAGAGACAGACAUGACAGCAACCCAGCAGAGGCCCGGGGAGAGUGUUCAGCAGAGCUGCGCCCCCGGAGGCUCGCUCACGGGGCCUGGGCAGCCCUCGGGGACUGGGCAGGGGCGAUGGGCAGAUCCCAGGAGAGCAGGGCAGCUGGCCAUAAAAAUGCAUAAGAUACGGUCUCACUUCCUCAUGAUGAGAGAGAGAUACAGAGACAAAGAUGGACUCCUGUCACCGAAUUUGAAAGGUUCUGACCAGGGGGGGUACUUUCCCUCCGCAGGUGGGACCGUGGGUCAGGAGGGAGUGACGAGAGGCAGGCAGAACCGGGCGCACGGACGUCUGCUGCCGUGUCAUCUACAAAGUGCGAGGCAGGAAGCCCGCGUCCACCAGUGGGGGCUGCUGCCCGUGCUCAGACGUGCCCAGCAGCAGGUGUCGGGAGGCCUUUAGAAACCGUGUUCUGAGAGAGUGAGGACAGGAAGUGAUGACGCGUGCGGGCGUGUGCGCGUCUGGGCGUGUGCUGGGUUCUCACAGCUGCUGGCCACUCUCACCUGUGGCAGGGCUCCUUCCUUCCUCGGAUCUCUGCCCUCUGGUGCUCCCUCGGUGAGCGUCUUUGCUCUCGGGGACACAGUGGACGCAAGUGGUGCUAACAUUUCACAUCUCCCGAUGGAGAAGCGUCGAGGCGCCAGGCGCAGUGUCCGCUCUGCACACUUCCUGCCGUGCUCCAGCUGGGGUUCUGCGUUCCUUCUCCAGCCAGAUCUUCCAUCUUGGCCAGUAGGUCACAGUUAGGAACUAGGCCAAGUGCUGCAUGUUAGCGGAUGUGGGUGCGCGGAGGGGACGGCUGUCACCGACCUGUGCGCCUCACUGACCCGGGAGGCAGGGUCACCGUGAAGGCUGUGCCAGCCAGUGGGGCCCCUUCGGGGAUGCUUGGCGAGACCGGCCAUGUAGUCUGCAGCUGGCCAGGUCCCUGUGUGGGCCGCCCCUUCUGUGUGUGGAAGGUUUGGAUGUGUUGUGUCUCAUUUUUUUAUCUGGCUUAAAAGUCCUUGUUUCCCAGGGCUCGCGGGGUGCGCUCGCGGGGAUGCGCUCCUGGGUCUCUUCUGCCACUUGUUGGGCUUUGUGUCCGUGAAGCUAGUCUUGGACCUGCUGGAACAGGCUUCCGUGUGCAGUGACGCGGUGACCCAGUGGUGACGUGAGACCGUGUUCCCUCUGUUGGAUGUCGCACUCCAGGUGCACGCGGGCUGGCUCCUGGGGCCCCCGCGCUCUUCCCUAGUCGGUCCCAGACCCUUGGGCAGAGGAAGAGUGUGUGUAAGUUUUCUGUUCCCAGUGAUACGUGCGUGGCUGGAGGACCCCACUGGUUUUACAGUUUGAGAACAGUAGCCGUUCGCGCCUGGCCUCUCAUGCUGCGCUCCACCCCUGCCCUCCGCCAAGAAGUACCACGUUCAGUGGCUCCAGUGCGGUCUCUGCGCGUGAGGCCGUGGACACAGCACUCGGGCCUGAGCCUCAUGGGGACCGUGGUCCUUCUGUCCCCUCAUUUCCCCGAGUGAGCUUCCACACUUGCUGCCGGCUGCAGCCACAUCCUUCCUGGCAGCGUGUGACCUUCCCGUCUUUGGAGUCCUAAGACUUCUCCAUCCCAGAGUCCUGACGUCGGACAAGCUGAGCACCUUGGAUGCUCCCGACUUUGACAUCCCUCCUCGUGCUGGCGCUCAGGACACCACAUCCUGUGAUUCUGGGAGCCACCACCUGGGGCUGAGAGCAGGAAGGACACGUGGGAGGCUGAGCUGCCCCGUGGCCGGGGGAGUCGACCCAGCACGAGCUGCCCCCUACCUGCCCCAGCCCCCCAGCUCUGUCUUGGGGCGAUGCCGGGAGCAGCCCAUGCCAGGCUCACGGGGCCUGACGGUGCCCGACAUGGACUAGGCGCAGAGUGGAGGGCUGGGUUCUCCGCUGCCGCCCUGCACCCCGGCCUCUGCACCCCCGUGUGCCCCCCGGAGAGCGGGGCAGGUGUUUUCCAGCAGGGGUGGGGUACUGACACCCAAGGGACAGACGACCUCGUCAGCUCAGUAAUUAGGAAUUAGUGGUGAGCAGUUUGCCGUGCAUGCUUCUUGGUCGUGAGUUCAGUUAACACGGGUUCUUUCCUGAAACGUAGCUUAAUCGCAGCACGGGGCAGACACUGGAGUGACUCCACGUGGGCGCAAGCCCCCCGGGAUGCAGGGACGUCUCUACAGACCAAACAGCAGUUUCUUAGAACGUUUUACUUGAGAUGGAUACCGACUCACAGGAAGUGACUGGUGGCGAGCAGGGCGGCCCCUGCGAGCCACACGAGUGUGUCUUCCUGUCAUGAACUGAGGCGCCACCUGGCCACGCGGAGUCCGCGGGGACUGCUAGCACCCCUGAGAUGCCACACCUCCUACUUUGUCAAAUUUAUCAAAAACCUUAAAGUUGUCUGCUCCGGGGUCUCUGGGUCUGGGGGCUUGCUUUUUGUUUGACUCGUCCUCCUGGGAGCUGCCGACAUGGGUGCGCGGAGGCCCAGGGCGAGCUGAGGGAGCCGCAUGGCCUCCUGCGCCACCCCCGCCACCCUGUGCUCGGGGCUCUGUCCUGCCGAGGAGCAGGUGGGCGGCGCUGUGGCACGCGGAUGUCGGGCGGGGCUCUGUACACACGGCUCCCACCCUCACCGCCAGGGACCCCUCUUCUGAGCCCCAUCCUGCCACUGGUUACGUCCUGCCCUUCAGAGGCGGGCUGCCCGUGGGUUAGAGACUCGUGGGAGUUUGGGGACAGCACUUGCCUCCCAGCCACUGUCUCUGUGCUGGGAUUUAGUGUCUGUGCCAGCCAGUAUCCAAGGAAACGGAGCAGAAAGGCCUGAAAGGGGUGUUGAGGGUCCUUGUUUUCCGGGGCGCCAAGCAGCCUUGUAGACCAGGCCUCAGUUCCGAGUAUGUCCCCUGAUCAGCGUGCGCUUCCUGCCCCCAUGGUCCUGCAUUCAGAACUGAGGCGGCCGGCACCUCAGGGUCUGCAGGCAGCGUGGGGAGGGGUCCCCGAGAGUAGGGCAGUCCCAUCCUGGUCCCCUUCACCCCUUCGCAGUGAGCAGGUAUGGUGCUCCCCCAUCCAGGGAAGCAAGCCAGAGCCUGCCGCCUCUUUUCCUGGCAGUAAGGGCAGGACUGGAAGAGCAGCCUGGGGGGCAGGUGCCACAUUGGGGAGAUGCCCCCCAGCCUCAGCCGCCGUGGUCUGGGCAGUGCGGGGCAUCUCCAGCAGGACCAGGGACAGGAACCUGAGCCCAGGGAGGGUCCCUCGGUCUGCUGGGUCUCUGCGUGAGUGGAGGUGGUGGGACAGGUCCAGGAAAGCACUGGAGGGACCCGGGGCGGGGGCAGUGUCCGUCCAGCAGCAGGAGGCAGCGACAGCUUGGACUGGGCCCGUUGGUGCCUUUAAGGGACAGGUGGCUGGCACUCAGGAGGCUCUCGGGAGAGCACACAGCCUCCGGGGGGAGGGAGGGCAGCAAGAGCGGGGCUGCACCCCAGGAAUGGGGAGCACAGUGGGCCUCGCAGGCCCCAGGGCGGGCUUCGUCCACCCCAGUCCUCCCUGCAGCCCGUCCUGCUCCUCCACGCCCGCACCCCUUCCCGCCGGCCAGCCGCCACCCCGUCAGGCCAUCCUGGGGCCACGACGCCCUUUCCAUAGAUGCUCUUGCAAAGCCUCUGGCUUCCCCUGCCUCCCGUCAGCGGGAGAGAACCCGCCAGGCUCGUGGCCUGUACGUGCUCUUGGAGCCUGGCCUUCCCACGCCACCGUAAGUAAGCUGGCCACCCAUCCAGGCACGAGCCUCUGUCCUGUUUAGUAGAGCGGAUUGCGCCCUGGGCUGCGGCAGGUGAUGGAUGGGCCUUCCUGUGUGGGUGGCGUGACUUGUAAUGAAACACUGAUGAUUUAUUCCAGCUAAUGACCCAGCGUGGGGCUCGGGCUGUGUGAGCGCAGGUGGGGAGGGACCAGUGCUGUUCUCAGAGGGCCAGGUAGGGGCGUCCUCACAGCCACACGCUCACACGUGCGUGCACUGUUGGAGCACACACACAUGCAUGCACACGUCCAUGCACAUUCACAUACACACGUCCACACACAUCCACGCACACACAUCCACGCACAUCCACGCA